Molecule: long non-coding RNA, 383 nt
Filed under: Anser brachyrhynchus (Pink-footed goose)
Lineage: Eukaryota; Metazoa; Chordata; Aves; Anseriformes; Anatidae
Description: lncRNA (ENSABRG00000006031.1)
Source: RNAcentral
GAGAUACUAAGACAAAUUGCUAAGUCUAAAGACUUAAUUCCUGUUUAAGUUUUGAUUGUUUGAAUUAGAACUUCUCUGCUGUGAUAUGCAGGCAUCUGUGAUGGUCUUCAUCUGUCCGUGUUUAGACAACUAAAUUUUCUACAGCCUAGAGGCACACAUUGGGACUGACCACCUAGUCAACAGCAAGAAAACAGUAUUAUUGAAGUACAGUGACUCAUACAAGGGUAAAAAGAACAAAAUGAUGGAGCUGACAAGAGUCCCAUGCAGCAAACAGAGAAACAGUCUUAUCGCAUCGUUGUUUUUGAUGGACCAUUGGUCUAGUCUUUAAACCUUAUACCUUGUCUGUUAUGGAAUCAAAUAAAAUAAGGAGCUAGGUACUAGCA